This 74-nucleotide transfer RNA is filed under the name Bacteroidales bacterium. Its description in RNAcentral is "tRNA-His". It matches the Rfam family "tRNA". Rfam says of the family: Transfer RNA (tRNA) molecules are approximately 80 nucleotides in length. Their secondary structure includes four short double-helical elements and three loops (D, anti-codon, and T loops). The record is from RNAcentral. Lineage: Bacteria; Pseudomonadati; Bacteroidota; Bacteroidia; Bacteroidales.
GUGCUCAUAGUUCAGUUGGUUAGAACGCCAGAUUGUGGUUCUGGAGGCCGUCGGUUCAAAUCCGAUUGGGCACC